Molecule: non-coding RNA, 65 nt
Organism: Caenorhabditis elegans
Lineage: Eukaryota; Metazoa; Nematoda; Chromadorea; Rhabditida; Rhabditidae
Source: Ensembl
UUUUGGGUUUGUAGGCCACCAACUUCAAAUGGUCAGAACUCGGCUUAAAAUCAAUAUUUUCGAGU